AGGAAUCAGGCAUGAACUCAGUGAA
This 25-nucleotide non-coding RNA is filed under the name Cricetulus griseus (Chinese hamster). Lineage: Eukaryota; Metazoa; Chordata; Mammalia; Rodentia; Cricetidae. The record is from RNAcentral.